UUGACUUCGAAUUCUUAAGUAACGUUACAUGAAGACGAGCGUAACCAUGGAGAUGUUAACUGUAGCGUAUUGUUAGCCUAUGAAAGACUUUUAAAAAGAACGACUGCUGAACAUUUCUGACCUGGAUAUGGAGAACUGCUUGAUCUGACAUAGGGAAAAAUCUGAGUGGAAUACACAAAGGAAACUACUGUUAUUGCCAGCCAGGGAAUCCUGGAGGGAGUGAUAAGAACCCUGGAUUUGACCCUGUCCGCUCCAGAUGACUGCAUCUCCUCGUCCCUGGAUCCAGAUGGUCUGUGUGUCCUGGGGUUCACAUUUGCUGCCAUUGCUGAUC
Long non-coding RNA from Xiphophorus couchianus (Monterrey platyfish), 331 nucleotides. RefSeq lists it as uncharacterized. NCBI's taxonomy places the organism in Eukaryota, Metazoa, Chordata, Actinopteri, Cyprinodontiformes, Poeciliidae. The record is from RefSeq and is a predicted model, not a curated record. The transcript is spliced from 3 exons.